Long non-coding RNA from Cavia porcellus (domestic guinea pig), 632 nucleotides. RefSeq lists it as uncharacterized. The record is from RefSeq and is a predicted model, not a curated record. NCBI's taxonomy places the organism in Eukaryota, Metazoa, Chordata, Mammalia, Rodentia, Caviidae. The transcript has 3 exons.
AAAAACAUCACCCUGUGUCCUCAUACACCUUGUUCACCUGAUUUGGUACGUGGGACCCGUGCUUCUUCCCCAGAAGUCAGAAUCACGAUGAUGGAAUCGACUUGAACAAUUUGCCUCCCAGGGAGAAUGGGAGGAGCUUCUCUAGAGUCAUUCUGUUGAAGGAUACCAUCUAGAAUAUAUCAGCAGUAGUGUAAUCUGUGGCUCUCUGCCCACAACUGUGGAGGGAACAUGUGCAGUGGUUAAUGCAGCCUCCUGGACACACAGGGACACAAGCUGCUUUAACCCAGUUGAAGGUCUUUCUUCUUUACCCAGAAUACAUCUCCAAACUCAGGAAGGGUCACUGACCGAAGGAAUGAGCACCUGCUCAAACGCCAAGCUUGCUCCCACGCCUUGCCUUUCCCAGGCUGCCCCUGGCCAGUGGACGAACAAAGCAAGGAUACCAUGUUAAAACCUCACUCUUGGAAACCCAAGUUUGACUCAAGUCUCACCCAGUGGUCUUAGAGGCUUUUACCUUCUCCUACUCUUGGUUAGGCCUGCAUUGCCAUUUGAUGGCUUAAACAGCUUGUCUAGUUCUCCCCCUAUUUUCUAACAUGGAUAUUUCCUCUAAUAAAAUCCUUGUUCAUUUAAUCCCA